GAUUCGUAAUACACACUAGUCGAGUGACUCCGCGCCGAAAAUGUACCGGGGCUAAAUACACCACCGAAGCUGCGAAUUGAUACCAAUGGUAUCAGUGGUAGGGGAGCGUUCUAAGUGCAGUGAAGUCAGACCGGAAGGACUGGUGGAGCGCUUAGAAGUGAGAAUGCCGGUAUGAGUAGCGAAAGACGGGUGAGAAUCCCGUCCACCGAAUGCCUAAGGUUUCCUGAGGAAGGCUCGUCCGCUCAGGGUUAGUCAGGACCUAAGCCGAGGCCGACAGGCGUAGGCGAUGGACAACAGGUUGAUAUUCCUGUACCACCUCUUUAUCGUUUGAGCAAUGGAGGGACGCAGAAGGAUAGAAGAAGCGUGCGAUUGGUUGUGCACGUCCAAGCAGUUAGGCUGAUAAGUAGGCAAAUCCGCUUAUCGUGAAGGCUGAGCUGUGAUGGGGAAGCUCCUUAUGGAGCGAAGUCUUUGAUUCCCCGCUGCCAAGAAAAGCUUCUAGCGAGAUAAAAGGUGCCUGUACCGCAAACCGACACAGGUAGGCGAGGAGAGAAUCCUAAGGUGUGCGAGAAAACUCUGGUUAAGGAACUCGGCAAAAUGACCCCGUAACUUCGGGG
This 614-nucleotide ribosomal RNA is filed under the name Acetobacter pasteurianus. RNAcentral's name for it is "bacterial LSU rRNA". It matches the Rfam family "Bacterial large subunit ribosomal RNA", at positions 1128 to 1741 of the family's 2925-position model. Lineage: Bacteria; Pseudomonadati; Pseudomonadota; Alphaproteobacteria; Acetobacterales; Acetobacteraceae. The record is from RNAcentral.